CCUACGGGAGGCUGCAGUGGGGAAUAUUGGACAAUGGGCGAAAGCCUGAUCCAGCCAUGCCGCGUGUGUGAAGAAGGCCUUCGGGUUGUAAAGCACUUUCAGUGGGGAAGAAAGCCUUGGGGCUAAUACCCUCGAGGAAGGACAUCACCCACAGAAGAAGCACCGGCUAACUCCGUGCCAGCAGCCGCGGUAAUACGGAGGGUGCGAGCGUUAAUCGGAAUUACUGGGCGUAAAGCGCGCGUAGGCGGUCUGAUAAGCCGGUUGUGAAAGCCCCGGGCUCAACCUGGGAACGGCAUCCGGAACUGUCAGGCUAGAGUGCAGGAGAGGAAGGUAGAAUUCCCGGUGUAGCGGUGAAAUGCGUAGAGAUCGGGAGGAAUACCAGUGGCGAAGGCGGCCUUCUGGACUGACACUGACGCUGAGGUGCGAAAGCGUGGGUAACAAACAGGAUUAGAUACCCUGGUAGUC
Molecule: ribosomal RNA, 465 nt
Filed under: Vreelandella stevensii
Lineage: Bacteria; Pseudomonadati; Pseudomonadota; Gammaproteobacteria; Oceanospirillales; Halomonadaceae
Description: partial 16S ribosomal RNA
Rfam family: Bacterial small subunit ribosomal RNA
Source: RNAcentral